Molecule: long non-coding RNA, 753 nt
Filed under: Anser brachyrhynchus (Pink-footed goose)
Lineage: Eukaryota; Metazoa; Chordata; Aves; Anseriformes; Anatidae
Description: lncRNA (ENSABRG00000008972.1)
Source: RNAcentral
AUGCCUGCUUGUUUUUUUUUGUUUUUUUUGGGUUUUUUUUGGCCACACCUCGUUAUUUCUGCUAUUAUGAGGCCCUCGCAGCGUUGUUUGUCAUCUUGUCGAGGCCCCUCGGUUUCUAUGGAUACUGCCUCCUCAGUGGCCAGGCUAUCAAUUAAAGACAGCUUCGGCUCCCAACUCUUCCCGAGGACUUCGCCGGGAGCCAGAGAUAAUUUCCCUGAAAAGCCCCGUCCGGCACGGCGUCGCCUCUCCAGCACCGGCCGCUCGGUUGCAGCUCAGCCUGUUCGGGUUUUCGAGGUAGAUGCGUGCUGCCAGCAGUGCUGCAAUAUCCAUCGAGGGCCGCCCAGAGUUUUCUUUGCAGCCAGACGACUACCUUGCACUAGUAUGACGUCUCUGUCAUACUUUUACAUGGGUUGUCCAAGAAGAAAACCCAACAAUUUCCAAUGCAGCAUGAAGCUGCAUCAAGGAGGUAGGAUGUAUUACGUGGAGUUUCUCCAUUAACAUUUAGCAAAGGACAGAUUUAAACAUUUCCGUGCCAUCCAGCCAUUUUACACCUUUUAACAACGUUCCUGGAUUAGCUCUGGCUUUCAUUCGAAAAUGUCUCUGCGAUACCUGGCAUUCACAGAUGCCGGUUUGCAAGAGCGCUGUCACGAUGCCCCUGCCCACACGCAACGCUGCCUGGAACCACAGAGUGAUAAAACCUCUCCUCGCUCUUCCUGGAUGUAAUUAUUUCUAAUAAAAUCUAUUUGUGCCUCA